RNAcentral lists this ribosomal RNA (304 nucleotides) under uncultured bacterium. RNAcentral's name for it is "partial 16S ribosomal RNA". It matches the Rfam family "Bacterial small subunit ribosomal RNA", at positions 506 to 807 of the family's 1533-position model. The record is from RNAcentral.
CAGCAGCCGCCGCGGGAAUACGUAGGUGGCAAGCGUUGUCCGGAAUUAUUGGGCGUAAAGGGCUCGCAGGCGGUUUCUUAAGUCUGAUGUGAAAGCCCCCGGCUCAACCGGGGAGGGUCAUUGGAAACUGGGAAACUUGAGUGCAGAAGAGGAGAGUGGAAUUCCACGUGUAGCGGUGAAAUGCGUAGAGAUGUGGAGGAACACCAGUGGCGAAGGCGACUCUCUGGUCUGUAACUGACACUGAGGAGCGAAAGCGUGGGGAGCGAACAGGAUUAGAUACCCCCGUAGUCCCUGUCUCUUAUAC